RNAcentral lists this unclassified non-coding RNA (365 nucleotides) under Hevea brasiliensis (rubber tree). The record is from RNAcentral. Lineage: Eukaryota; Viridiplantae; Streptophyta; Magnoliopsida; Malpighiales; Euphorbiaceae.
GAAGGAAUCUUUCUUGGAUGAAGGGUGAGUAUGUGGACAUAUUGAGUCUUAUUUCAUUUUGAGGUUUUCAUGGUAUGGCACAUGAAUUUCCGUGCUUGAGUACUAAACAUAGCCUUCUUUUUUGCUAAUAUGUAACUUCAUAACCUGGAAGUUGUGUAAAUUAUUUUGCAACUUCUACAGUGUCUUUGUAGAUCCAUCUGUUUCUUGUAAAUAGCCAUACUAUGAUAGAACAUGGGAUAACAUCUUUACCUAGUAGACCCAGGAUGUAUCAUUCCAUGUCACUAAUCUACUGAGACCUGAUAGGUUUUUCAAUGGUUUAAAUUGGGGUCUUUUGUUUCUUCAGAUUUAUUCUUGACAAAAAAAUA